RNAcentral lists this ribosomal RNA (499 nucleotides) under uncultured bacterium. RNAcentral describes it as "bacterial SSU rRNA". It matches the Rfam family "Bacterial small subunit ribosomal RNA", at positions 29 to 508 of the family's 1533-position model. The record is from RNAcentral.
AACAAACGCUGGCGGCGUGCCUAACACAUGCAAGUCGUACGAGAAAGUCGGCUUCGGCCGAUGAGUACAGUGGCGCACGGGUGAGUAGCGCGUGGGUAAUCUGCCCCCCGGUCAGGAAUAACCCGCCGAAAGGCGGGCUAAUACCCGAUAACACUGACGCUCCGCGGAGCGUCUUUCAAAGAAGGCCUCUGUUUACAAGCUUUCGCCGGAGGAUGAGCCCGCGUACCAUUAGCUAGUUGGCAGGGUAAUGGCCUACCAAGGCUACGAUGGUUAGCUGGUCUGAGAGGAUGGCCAGCCACACUGGAACUGAGACACGGACCAGACUCCUACGGGAGGCAGCAGUGAGGAAUAUUGGUCAAUGGGCGCAAGCCUGAACCAGCCAUCCCGCGUGCAGGAAGACGGCGCUAUGCGUUGUAAACUGCUUUUCCAGGGAGAGAAACUUGCGCACGUGUUGCGCAAUUGACGGUACCCUGGGAAUAAGCAUCGGCUAACUCCGUCG